RNAcentral lists this ribosomal RNA (253 nucleotides) under uncultured bacterium. RNAcentral describes it as "partial 16S ribosomal RNA". It matches the Rfam family "Bacterial small subunit ribosomal RNA", at positions 524 to 776 of the family's 1533-position model. The record is from RNAcentral.
UACGGAGGGUGCAAGCGUUAAUCGGAAUUACUGGGCGUAAAGCGCACGCUGGCGGUCUGUUAAGUCAGAUGUGAAAUCCCCGAGCUCAACCUGGGAACUGCAUCUGAAACUGGCUAGCUUGAGUCUCGUAGAGGGGGGUAGAAUUCCAGGUGUAGCGGUGAAAUGCGUAGAGAUCUGGAGGAAUACCGGUGGCGAAGGCGGCCCCCUGGGCGAAUACUGACGCUCAGGUGCUAAAGCGUGGGGAGCAAACAGG